This 402-nucleotide ribosomal RNA is filed under the name uncultured bacterium. RNAcentral describes it as "bacterial SSU rRNA". It matches the Rfam family "Bacterial small subunit ribosomal RNA", at positions 917 to 1322 of the family's 1533-position model. The record is from RNAcentral.
GGGCCCGCACAAGCGGUGGAGCAUGUGGUUUAAUUCGAUGAUACGCGAGGAACCUUACCAGGGCUUAAAUGUAGUCUGACGUACUUGGAAACAGGUAUUUCUUCGGACAGAUUACAAGGUGCUGCAUGGUUGUCGUCAGCUCGUGCCGUGAGGUGUCAGGUUAAGUCCUAUAACGAGCGCAACCCCUGUGGUUAGUUGCCAGCGAGUCAAGUCGGGAACUCUAGCCAGACUGCCGGUGCAAACCGUGAGGAAGGUGGGGAUGACGUCAAAUCAUCACGGCCCUUACGUCCUGGGCCACACACGUGCUACAAUGGUAGGGACAGAGAGCAGCCACUUUGCGAGAAGGAGCGAAUCUUCAAACCCUAUCACAGUUCGGAUCGGAGUCUGCAACUCGACUCCGUG